This 355-nucleotide ribosomal RNA is filed under the name uncultured bacterium. RNAcentral's name for it is "bacterial SSU rRNA". It matches the Rfam family "Bacterial small subunit ribosomal RNA", at positions 917 to 1271 of the family's 1533-position model. The record is from RNAcentral.
GGACCCGCACAAGUAGUGGAGCAUGUGGUUUAAUUCGAAGAUACGCGCAGAACCUUACCAACACUUGACAUGUUCGUCGCGACUUUAAGAGAUUAAAGUUUUCGGUUCGGCCGGACGAAACACAGGUGCUGCAUGGCUGUCGUCAGCUCGUGUCGUGAGAUGUUGGUUAAGUCCCGCAACGAGCGCAACCCUCACUUUUAGUUGCCAUCAUUUAGUUGGGCACUCUGAAAGAACUGCCAGUGAUAAGCUGGAGGAAGGUGGGGAUGACGUCAAGUCCUCAUGGCCCUUACGUGUUGGGCUACACACGUGCUACAAUGGCUAGGACAGACGCCGGAAACCCGCGAGGGGGAGCCAA